CCUUUGGGUUGUAAAGCUCUUUCGUCGGGGAAGAAAAUGACGGUACCCGAAUAAGAAGGUCCGGCUAACUUCGUGCCAGCAGCCGCGGUAAUACGAAGGGACCUAGCGUAGUUCGGAAUUACUGGGCUUAAAGAGUUCGUAGGUGGUUAAAAAAGUUGGUUGUGAAAUCCCGAAGCUUAACUUCGGAACUGCAAUCAAAACUUUUUAGCUAGAGUAUGAUAGAGGAAAGCAGAAUUUCUAGUGUAGAGGUGAAAUUCGUAGAUAUUAGAAAGAAUACCAAUUGCGAAGGCAGCUUUCUGGAUCAUUACUGACGCUGAGGAACGAAAGCAUGGGUAGCGAAGAGGAUUAGAUACCCUCGUAGUCCAUGCCGUAAACGAUGUGUGUUAGACGUUGGAAAUUUAUUUUCAGUGUCGCAGCGAAAGCAGUAAACACACCGCCUGGGGAGUACGACCGCAAGGUUAAAACUCAAAUGAAUUGACGGGGACCCGCACAAGUAGUGGAGCAUGUGGUUUAAUUCGAAGAUACGCGCAGAACCUUACCAACACUUGACAUGUUCGUCGCGGCUCUAAGAGAUUAGAGCUUUCGGUUCGGCCGGACGAAACACAGGUGCUGCAUGGCUGUCGUCAGCUCGUGUCGUGAGAUGUUGGGUUAAGUCCCGCAACGAGCGCAACCCUCACUUUUAGUUGCCACCAUUUAGUUGGGCACUCUGAAAGAACUGCCAGUGAUAAGCUGGAGGAAGGUGGGGAUGACGUCAAGUCCUCAUGGCCCUUACGUGUUGGGCUACACACGUGCUACAAUGGCAUUUACAAUAGGAAGCAAGAUGGCGACGUCAAGCAAAUCCUAAAAAGAUGCCUCAGUUCGGAUUGUACUCUGCAACUCGAGUACAUGAAGCUGGAAUUACUAGUAAUCGCGGAUCAGCGCGCCGCGGUGAAUACGUUCCCGGGUCUUGUACACACCGCCCGUCACACCAUGGGAGUUGGUUCUACCUUAAGGCAAGGUUUAAAACCCUUGACCACGGUAUAGUCAGCGACUGGGGUGAAGUCGUAACAAGGUAG
This 1055-nucleotide ribosomal RNA is filed under the name marine metagenome. RNAcentral describes it as "bacterial SSU rRNA". It matches the Rfam family "Bacterial small subunit ribosomal RNA", at positions 415 to 1499 of the family's 1533-position model. The record is from RNAcentral.